RNAcentral lists this ribosomal RNA (465 nucleotides) under uncultured bacterium. RNAcentral's name for it is "partial 16S ribosomal RNA". It matches the Rfam family "Bacterial small subunit ribosomal RNA", at positions 28 to 507 of the family's 1533-position model. The record is from RNAcentral.
GACGAACGCUGGCGGCGUGCUUAACACAUGCAAGUCGAACGGAAAGGCCCCUUUGGGGGUCCUCGAGUGGCGAACGGGUGAGUAACACGUGAGUAACCUGCCCUUGACUUCGGGAUAACUUCAGGAAACUGGGGCUAAUACCGGAUAGGAAUCCUUGCUGCAUGGUGGGGGUUGGAAAGCUUCGGCGGUUUUGGAUGGACUCGCGGCUUAUCAGCUUGUUGGUGGGGUAGUGGCUUACCAAGGCUUUGACGGGUAGCCGGCCUGAGAGGGCGACCGGCCACAUUGGGACUGAGAUACGGCCCAGACUCCUACGGGAGGGAGGCGUGGGGAAUAUUGCACAAUGGGCGGAAGCCUGAUGAAGCAACGCCGCGGGCGGGAGGACCGCCUUCGGGUUGUAAACCGCUUUCAGCAGGGGCGAAGCUUGUGGUGACGGUACCUGCAGAAGAAGCACCGGCUAACUACGUG